Octodon degus (degu) is the source of this 639-nucleotide RNA transcript. It is a transcript of the gene named ubiquitin-conjugating enzyme E2 E1 pseudogene, with no coding region annotated. NCBI's taxonomy places the organism in Eukaryota, Metazoa, Chordata, Mammalia, Rodentia, Octodontidae. The transcript is spliced from 2 exons. The record is from RefSeq and is a predicted model, not a curated record.
AUGAUGACUGUAAAUCCAGGUGUUAAUGCCCUCAGAUGGCCCAUCAUCUCACUGGAGAUACCUAAUAAAGCGGCCAUUAACCGACAGAAUAUGGUGAUGGGCCGUGCGCCGGACGCCGCGCCCCGACCGCUCAGGUCUCCGCUGCCGAGGGGCCUCGCGGGGAGCGGCCAUGUUGACGGCGUCGCCGCGCCUGGGACCGGGAUUCAGAAGGAGCUGGCCGACGUCACUCUAGACCCUCCGCCCAACUGCAGUGCUGGUCCUAAAGGUGACAACAUCUAUGAGUGGAGAUCUACCAUUCUAGGACCCCCAGGAUCUGUGUAUGAAGGAGGUGUAUUCUUUUUGGAUAUCACAUUUACUCCAGAAUAUCCCUUCAAACCUCCAAAGGUUACAUUUCGGACAAGAAUCUAUCACUGUAAUAUUAACAGUCAAGGAGUUAUUUGCUUGGAUAUAUUGAAGGAUAAUUGGAGCCCAGCACUAACUAUUUCUAAAGUCCUCCUUUCUAUCUGCUCACUUCUUACAGACUGUCAUCCUGCCGACCCUUUGGUGGGAAGUAUUGCCCCCCAGUAUAUGACCAACAGAGCAGAACAUGACAGAAUGGCCAGACAUGGACCAAGAGAUACGCUACAUAAAUUGAACUGA